AUCCAGCCGAUGAGUCCCGAACGGGACGAAACGUGUUCCUGGAU
This 44-nucleotide non-coding RNA is filed under the name Schistosoma curassoni. Lineage: Eukaryota; Metazoa; Platyhelminthes; Trematoda; Strigeidida; Schistosomatidae. The record is from RNAcentral.